This 426-nucleotide ribosomal RNA is filed under the name uncultured bacterium. RNAcentral describes it as "partial 16S ribosomal RNA". It matches the Rfam family "Bacterial small subunit ribosomal RNA", at positions 354 to 796 of the family's 1533-position model. The record is from RNAcentral.
GUCGGGAAUAUUGCACAAUGGAGGAAACUCUGAUGCAGUGACGCCGCGUAUAGGAAGAAGGUUUUCGGAUUGUAAACUAUUGUCGUUAGGGAAGAUAAAAGACAGUACCUAAGGAGGAAGCUCCGGCUAACUACGUGCCAGCAGCCGCGGUAAUACGUAGGGAGCAAGCGUUAUCCGGAUUUAUUGGGUGUAAAGGGUGCGUAGACGGGAAAACAAGUUAGUUGUGAAAUCCCUCGGCUUAACUGAGGAACUGCAACUAAAACUAUUUUUCUUGAGUGUUGGAGAGGAAAGUGGAAUUCCUAGUGUAGCGGUGAAAUGCGUAGAGAUUUGGAAGAACACCAGUGGCGAAGGCGACUUUCUGGACGAUGUCUGACGCUGAGGCGCGAAAGCUAGGGGAGCGAACGGGAUUAGAAACCCGGGUAGUCC